This 491-nucleotide long non-coding RNA is filed under the name Cervus hanglu yarkandensis (Yarkand deer). Its description in RNAcentral is "lncRNA (ENSCHYG00000008229.1)". The record is from RNAcentral. Lineage: Eukaryota; Metazoa; Chordata; Mammalia; Artiodactyla; Cervidae.
AAUGUACUGCAGUGAAUAAUUGCCAAUCAUGUAUAAACAGAAAGAAAUGUUUUUGGUGCAGUGAAGAAAAGGCUUGCAAAAAAAUUUGUUUUCUAAAUUCUCAGUGUCCUGUCAGUUGUUCAUUUUGGUUAAACUGUCAAGUUGACAUGUUUGGAUUCCUGAUGCUUCUACUCCUUGCGGUCAUGGUUAUAGCGUUCAUUUGUCAAUGCUGCAUUUAUCAACAUUACCUACAGAGAGUUUUGAAAUCCACCUGACAAAAUUUUAAACUCCUUUGAAAAGGAUGUUCAAUGCCUUUUUGGAAUAAGGCAGUAUUUUCCACAUUCAAGUUGCUGCCUGGCCAAAUCCACAAACAGCAAUGUUAUUAAAGAAAGUCUUCGUUGGAUUGUAGGUGAGAUGAGAUGACCCUAAUCAUCGCGACUGUACAACCAACAGAAAUUUACUCCAAACUUUCACUUUCUUAUAAAUUCGGUCCUCAUAUAAUAAAAAGGGAG